This is a long non-coding RNA of Lates calcarifer (barramundi perch), 6880 nucleotides long. RefSeq lists it as uncharacterized. The transcript has 3 exons. Lineage: Eukaryota; Metazoa; Chordata; Actinopteri; Centropomidae. The record is from RefSeq and is a predicted model, not a curated record.
AUUACCUGUCAAAUUAUAGUUAUUUACUUGCAUUCCUUAAAAAUAGUUUUAGUGGUUGAAUGUUAUGCUUGAUUAAUUUCUGACUUCUCAGAGAAGCGAGCCAGCUCAAAUUUGGGUUUAAAAAAGGUGAAUUUAGUUUGAAAUUCCUCAUUCCUGUUCAAAAUGGUAAAACGUUGAGAGCUCACUGAAAAUGAAAGAGUCAGUAGUGCAUUAAAGGAAUUGCAGAGACUGGUACUUACAAAAUGCGCCAAGGAAAAGGCAGGAAAUGAAAGUCAACUGAAGCAGAUGUCAGACGCCUCAAGAUUUUAAGUGGUAGAGACAAAACGAAGACCACUGCUGAUCUUAAGGCAGAGAUGAAUGCUUCUAGUCUACAGAAUGACCAUAAGCAGACGAAUGAUGGAACAAGGUUUAAAGGGAAGAAUAACUGCUAAGAAGCCAUUAUUGAGGCCUGCAAACAUCCAUAAACGCCUCAGAUUUGACAGGGAGCACAAACACUGGAUUGCUGAUGACUGAACAGACGAGUCCAAGUUUGAACUCUUCAGUCAGCAUCAUCGUGUUUAUGUCCACAAAAAACUGGAGAACUUUUUGAUGCCAGAUGCAUUGGACCCACAGUGAAACAUGGUGGGCAUUCCAUUAUGGUAUGGGGUUCCAUUUGUGGAAACAGCCUGGGCAAAUUAGUGAAAACUGAUGGGAUCAUGAACAAGAACGUCUACCACAACAUCUUAGUGCAUCAUGAAAUCCCUUCUGGACUGAAUCAGAUUGUUUUGUUGGUAUAUGAACCCACAACCAAUGACCCCAAGCAUGCUUCAUAACUGUGCAGAGACUAUUGUUAUUAAGAAAAAGGAAUGUUGAGUACUGGAACUGAUGGACUGACCAAGUCGAAGUCUGGAUUUGAAUCCUGUUGAACAAAUUUGGGUUUUAGUCUAUUCAGAGAUUGAUCACACAAACGUUUAAUCCAAAGAAAGUCUGUGGGAACAACUAGAAAGUAUUUGGAACUCAAUAACAAAAGAGAAGUGUUGAAAAGUACAUAAAAACAAUGCUAGCAAGGGACUUCCGGUAUGAUGCUGAAGCAAGCAACAGCAUAAGUCAGGAGCUCCUGCGUGGUCCUACUCCUCCCUUUUGAAAUAUGAACAUUAAAUGCUUAAAAUAACUUGCUAGCACAUGGUAAGGAGGAAAAAAAAGAAGACGAAAGGAAAAUCGCAACAGAACCAAAACCUCAGCAACAAUUCACUCUCAGAAAAGAAUAGAACCUUGGAAAUCCAGCAGAGCAUCCAAACCCAACUAACAGACCUGGAGGCCAGAUCCCGCAGGAACAACUUAUGUAUUCACGGGAUUCCCAAAGGGUCUGAAGGGGAUGACAUACAAGGCUUUGUUGAGAAGUUUAUUAAAUCAGAGCUGUCUCUCCCCCGAGACCAGACUUGGGAUACAACGCUAUCACCGAUCCCUUGGAUCCAGACCACCGCAGGGAUCCCGUCCAAGGUCUAUGAUAAUCUACUUCCAGGAAUAUAAAACAAAAGAAAUGGUGCUCUGUUUCGCCUGGAAGAAGAGAGAGAUCUGUUUUGAGGGGAAAAGAGUGUUUUUUGAACAGGACUACGCAGCCGAAAUACUAAAAAAGAGAAGAGCUUAUGCCAACAUCAGGAAGGCACUAGAAGAAAACAGGCUGCACUUCCAGACCCUGUACACAGCAAAAGUCAAAGUGUUUUUCGACAGCGGUCCAGUUUUCUUUAACAGCGCAGUGGAGGCAACGGAGGACCUUAAGAGAAGAGGAUUCGCACUGGACAGCUCCAGAGCCAAGGCUGCCACGGGACCUGUACCUAUGACCGGAUCAUUAUACCAGCACUGGGAAAAGGCAGGUGCAGGACUGUCUGAGACAAAUCCAGGAGAAACUAAAAGCGUUCAGACGCAACACGGAUGACACAUUAGUUGCCAUGGUGUAAUCAAACAGACUGUGUUACCUUUAAGAGAUUGGUAAGGGAAAAUGUUAAUAUCAAUAUAGACUGAAAUAAGCCAGGAAGGUGGACGGUUUAUUGAUAUUCAGAGACUAAGCGAUUUGUCCAAUCGUAAUCUUGUACUAUUUAAACUGACCACUAAGCAGGGAAACAAUAUUUGCCUCGUUAUGUGCCCUGCUCUGAAUUUAAACGUUAUUCAGAGAUGAAAUGGAAGUCACUAGAGUUUAAAGAAGUUGGUUUGUUCAGAUCAUCUUGUCAGGCUAAAUACUCAGGUGAAUAUUUACUUUUUCUCUUGUCAGUUGAGAUGAUUCAUACAAAGCAUCACUUUGAAUGUAAAUGGGUUACACAACCCUAUAAAGAUAAGUAAGACUACUGCUAAAAUGAAAAGAGAGAAACGGGAUAUAAUUCUUUGGCAAGAAACACAUCUCUCAAAUAUUGAACAUGAUAAGUUGAGAAAAAUGGGAUUUAAAAACGCAUAUUAUUCAUUCUUUGAAAGAGGGAAUACAAGAGGAGUAACAAUAUUAAUCAGUGUCAAUUUUAUGUUUUCUUUCCAAAUUACUGAUAAGGAAGGGUGUUAUGUACUGGUCAAAGGUUUUAUUGACCACAAAGAAGUCACCUUACUGAAUGUCUAUAGGCCACCGGGAAAUGAUAAACAGUUGAUUAGAAAGAUUUUCGACCUAGUCUCGGUGGAAACUUCAGGUGUUUUAAUAUGUGGAGGAGAGUGGAAUAUUCAACUGUGCCAAAACAUGGACUCUUCAAAUUUAAAAAAAAGAGAUAGGAUCUUUUUCAAUUCAAUUCAAUUUUAUUUAUAUAGCGCCAUAUCACAACAACAGUCAUCUCAAGGCACUUUUCAUAUAUAGCAGGUCUAGACCAUACUCUUUAAAAUAGGUAUUUACAGAGAGAGACCCAACAAAUCCCACCAAGAGCAAGCACUAGGCGACAGUGGCAAGGAAAAACUUCCUUUUAAGAGGCAGAAACCUCGAGCAGAACCGGACUCAGGGUGGGCGGCCAUCUGCCUCGACCGGUUGGGUUAAGAAGGAGAGAGGGGGGGAGAGGGGGGAGAGGGGGUAGAGAAUAGCGAAAGAAGAACAUAGCAUAACACAGGUUCCAUAUCAGAUGUAAGAUGAGGCCAGUAAUACAGCAGUAGUAGUGAUAGUAGUGAUAAUUAAAGUAUUAACUGCUAACACAGCAAUACAACUAAUAGCAGUAUAAGUAAUUUCUAAUUCUAGCAGCAGGUGUUGAGUGGAGUUGUAGGAGCGGCAGGAGACUUGCAGUAUAUGUCAAAAAGCUGCUCAAAGAAUUAGGCAUGAUUGACAUAUGGAGAGACCUACACCCCCAUGAUAAAUACUUUACUUUAUAGUUUAGUAUACUCAAGAAUCGAUUAUUUUUUCAUGUCCAACUCGGAUAGACAUAAGAUUAUAAAAUGUGACAUAGGAAUAAGGGCCAUUUCUGACCACACAGGGGUAUACUUAACACUACAUUUAGACAACAAACCAAAGGAAACAUUGUGGAGACUUAACACAAAUCUUCUGAAUGACCUUCAAUGUCAAGAAUAUAUAAAGAAAGAAAUGAAAGACUAUAUUACUUAUAAUAAUAAUGGAACCUUGUCUCCAAGCACACUUUGGGAUGCUGCUAAGGCAGUUUUAAGAGGCAAACUUAUAAAAUGGUCUGCCCAGAAGAAAAAGGAAAAAAAAAUAAACAAAUCAAGGAACUAGUUGAAAAGUUAAAAUCUUUAGAGAGUAAACAUAUGGAAUGUAAUGACUCUUGAGGUCUUACAGCAGAUUUUAAAUACAAAACAAACUUUAAAUAUUUAUGAAAGUCAGAUAGCAGCAAAGGCUAAGUGGAUCAAACAAAAUUUCUAUGAGAAUGGCCCCAAAUCCAAAAGACUUCUGGCAUGGAGAAUAUGCAAACAACAGGCAGAGAGAUGUAUACAUAAAGUGAAUGAUCCUCAGACUAAUAAGACAUAUCACAAAUUGGAAGAUAUACAAAAAUCUUUUGAAACAUACUAUUCCAAUUUAUAGGCUCAACCUGAAGCUGCUGAAAUAGGAGCUGUAUCAGAAUUCCUGACAUCCUUGGACUUACCAUCUAUAGGAAUACAGCAUAACAGAAUAAUAACUUGGGAGAUAACAGAUGAAUAAAUAAAUAAGGCCAUAUCAAGACUGAAGUCAAAUAAAAUGCCAGGUGCCGAUGGCUACCCAGCAGAGUGGUACAAAAUGUUUAGGGAAAUAAUACUACCAAUGCUUAAAAACAGUUUUAAUUGUGUUCUUAAUGGGGGAGGACCCCCUGUGUCAUGGAGACAAGCAGUAAUUAAACACAAGAUGAAAUGUAGUUCUUAUAGACGCAUAUCUGUUUUAAACAUUGAUUAUACACUAUAUGAAUUGAUAUUAGCUAAAUGAUUGGAAGAUAUAAUCCCAGACCUCAUAAACACCAACCAAACAGGCUUUGUUAAGCACAGACAGACUCAGGACAAUGUGAUCAUAUAAAAAACAGUUAUACUGGGGGCAGGAGUCAGCUGGACCACUGACGAGGCCGGUAUCAGCCAGGCCACCAAUGGGAGAACUCUGGGAGCUGGUGUCGGCUGGACCACUGACUGGAGAUAGGGCAUUGGAGUUGAUGUCGCCUGACCAUAGUAACAUUGCCAAUACCUGUAAAAUAUGUUGCUCUGGAUCAGUAUCUGAUACAAAUUCCAGUGUCAUUGCAGCAUGCUGUAAUACAGACAAUGUAAAAUUGUUUUGAAGCAAAUCUACUCUCUAGCAGCAGCAGUUAGAACAGGAAUGCUGAAGUCAUACAGGUCUCAACCUGGAGUCAAUGGUAGCUGCAUUUAUGCAUUAAGUGUGUGUGUGUGUGUGUGUGUGUGUGUGUGUGUGUGUGUGUGUGUGUGUGUGUGUGUGUGUGUUUGUGUGCCGCACACCUGCACAUAGUCCUAAAUUUGUCCAAAUCAAAAACAGCUCCAACCACAAAUAGUUCCAGUAUGAGUCAACAGUGUGUUGGUUUCUAUGAACAACGACCCUCUGUGAUUUCAUAUGAUCAUAAAACUAUAUAUUCCUUUAUAGUCCACUGGCUCAGAGCCAAAUGCAAGUGCUGAAAUGCAUCAAGUAUAUUGUCAUCAAUAUUGUAUUGUUAGAGAGGAAAACAAAAAAAUAAUCAGUAAUAGGGAAAGAGACAGAUGAGAAUGAGAGAGAGAGAUGGAGUCCUGGCCUCACUGUGUUGUGUGUUCUCUUUUCAUUUCUAAUUAUGUCCUGCUGUUUAAGACCAGCUCAAACUAACUAGGACCCCAAACAACAAAUAAGAUGAGAUGAGAUAAAACUUAAUUGAUACCUGUGGCUACACUGAGUCACAGCAACAGCAAAGAAUGGCAACAAAAAGAAAACACUUCAUACAAAUGAAACCGCAUUCGGAUGGGAUUAAGAUUACAGGUGGAAGUGUAAACUGAAAUAUUCACUGCGCUUCUCACUAAUUUAACUCAUUGGUCCAAAUGGAAUCAGGAAAUUACAGGAUAAGGUCUGCAAUAGACAAGGACAUUCCACAGGACAAAACCAUGAGGGAUGAAGAGUGAAGCCAAGAGCCACCUCAGGGGGGCGUAAGAGAGUAAAAGUAGAGCCACAGUGGGAAAGACACGUAGGCAAAGACACUCAAUAGAGUCACAUAAGGUAAAAAAAAAUCAUACUCCUCAGAGUCAUAACCAAACACACAGACCUACUUGUAGCUGACAUUUCAGUCUGAAAGAUUUCUGCAGUUUAUUUUCUACAGCUGGUGUUUAAGGAGAUGAAAUUUGUGUUCAUUCAUUGGUGUAGGAACAAAUGGGUUGCUGCAGCCAGCAGUCAUCAACUGGACUUCAGAGUAAGGCAGUGUUUGUGAAGGUUUUUAUAGACACAAAGACCUGAAAACAAAAGUUAGCAGGCACAGUGGGAUUGAUGUAUGAUUUGAGAUUCUCUGCCAGAGGAAUCCUAGUUGUCAGUGUUGGUUUCCAUGGUGAUGCUUCUCCACAAGUUUGGGGGGCGGAGCUUCUGAAGGAGCCCAGGAUCUAAGCUGAUCUGUUUUUUAAGCUGUGCCAAAUUAAAUGGAGGGUUUUAUGUUCUGUUGGACUGUUUCUUUUGUUUAUUUGUUAAAAUGCAAAGUAAGUAAGUGUUUGGGUUAUUAUCCUUUAAUAGAGCCAUCUAGUCAUGAGUCCAAAAAUGCUACUUGAUUUCCUUGCAUUACAGUUACGGUGUAGGUGGCUGAAGCAGUUCAUUUAUUGUAUCAUUAAUCAUACCCCCCACCCCCCAAAUGAAGGAUUUAUUGUGUAUUUCAAACAUCUUAUUAAUGAGCAUCACCAGUUCUCCAAACAACUGUGCCCAUCACACCUGUACCGAGACUACAUUUCCAACCCUGCGGUGCCUCAAAGCUACACUCAUCCUGUGAACAAGGGAAUGAGGCAACUCUGGCUUGUUCAGAUGUGAGUGAGGAAGGCUGGAGCUUGAAGUCAGCGAGCACUAAGACUGAGCCUAGACCGAGAACUGCUAGACUUGCUCUCGGACAGUUUCCCAGAGGUGUUCCUGUCCUAGCAUAACACUUUCAGGCCUGUUGAUUGGUGAUCCUGCUGUGCAGUCUUUAUCAAUAACAGAUGCUAUUUGAGAUGUUACUGUGAAAGGCAGGAUGACCAAGAAUAUCUCUUUGGGAAUUUCAUGUUAAUCAAUCAAGUGGCUGUUGAGAAAUUUCAAUCUGGAUCAGAGUGUUGGCUCAGAGUGUUGGCUCAACCAAUCAUGACAGUUUUGCCAAUACCAUUCAGAGCUGACCUUGGGGGAUGAGCCCCAGGAAAAUUAUUGCAAUGAUUCCACUUCCUGUUUGAGGGGAUUGCCUCUCCACCAUUGGAUAUUAUGCUUUCAUAGAAAAAUGGCUCUCUCAAUGUACAUAUGGACAUGUGUGUAUUGUUAUAAGAUAGUCUUGAAAGA